GUGCUCACUUCUGCACCACAUGUACUAAAAUUGGAAUGAUACAGAGAAGAUUAGCAUGGCCCCUGUGCAAAGAUGACAUGCGAAUUCAUGAAGUGUUCCAUAUUUUC
Arvicanthis niloticus (Nile rat) is the source of this 107-nucleotide small nuclear RNA. The record is from RefSeq and is a predicted model, not a curated record. Lineage: Eukaryota; Metazoa; Chordata; Mammalia; Rodentia; Muridae.